CGGACGGGUGAGUAAUGUCUGGGAAACUGCCCGAUGGAGGGGGAUAACUACUGGAAACGGUAGCUAAUACCGCAUAACGUCGCAAGACCAAAGAGGGGGACCUUCGGGCCUCUUGCCAUCGGAUGUGCCCAGAUGGGAUUAGCUAGUAGGUGGGUUAACGGCUCACCUAGGCGACGAUCCCUAGCUGGUCUGAGAGGAUGACCAGCCACACUGGAACUGAGACACGGUUCAG
This 232-nucleotide ribosomal RNA is filed under the name uncultured bacterium. RNAcentral describes it as "partial 16S ribosomal RNA". It matches the Rfam family "Bacterial small subunit ribosomal RNA", at positions 99 to 334 of the family's 1533-position model. The record is from RNAcentral.